Molecule: ribosomal RNA, 631 nt
Filed under: Tardiphaga sp. WP18
Lineage: Bacteria; Pseudomonadati; Pseudomonadota; Alphaproteobacteria; Hyphomicrobiales; Nitrobacteraceae
Description: bacterial SSU rRNA
Rfam family: Bacterial small subunit ribosomal RNA
Source: RNAcentral
UGCAGUCGAACGGGCAUAGCAAUAUGUCAGUGGCAGACGGGUGAGUAACGCGUGGGAACAUACCUCUUGGUUCGGAACAACACAGGGAAACUUGUGCUAAUACCGGAUAAGCCCUUACGGGGAAAGAUUUAUCGCCGAGAGAUUGGCCCGCGUCUGAUUAGCUAGUUGGUGUGGUAAAGGCGCACCAAGGCGACGAUCAGUAGCUGGUCUGAGAGGAUGAUCAGCCACAUUGGGACUGAGACACGGCCCAAACUCCUACGGGAGGCAGCAGUGGGGAAUAUUGGACAAUGGGCGCAAGCCUGAUCCAGCCAUGCCGCGUGAGUGAUGAAGGCCCUAGGGUUGUAAAGCUCUUUUGUGCGGGAAGAUAAUGACGGUACCGCAAGAAUAAGCCCCGGCUAACUUCGUGCCAGCAGCCGCGGUAAUACGAAGGGGGCUAGCGUUGCUCGGAAUCACUGGGCGUAAAGGGUGCGUAGGCGGGUUUCUAAGUCAGAGGUGAAAUCCUGGAGCUCAACUCCAGAACUGCCUUUGAUACUGGAAGUCUUGAGUAUGGGAGAGGUGAGUGGAACUGCGAGUGUAGAGGUGAAAUUCGUAGAUAUUCGCAAGAACACCAGUGGCGAAGGCGGCUCACUGG